AGCGAACGCUGGCGGCAGGCCUAACACAUGCAAGUCGAACGAACCUUUCGGGGUUAGUGGCGGACGGGUGAGUAACCCGUGGGAACGUGCCUUUAGGUUCGGAAUAACUCAGGGAAACUUGUGCUAAUACCGAAUGUGCCCUUCCGGGGAACGAUUAAUCGCCUUUAGAGCGGCCCGCGUCUGAUUAGCUAGUUGGUUGAGUUAAUGGCUCACCAAGGCGACGAUCAGUAGCUGGUCUGAGAGGAUGAUCAGCCACAUUGGGACUGAGACACGGCGCAAACUCCUACGGGAAGCAGCAGUGGGGAAUCUUGCGCAAUGGGCGAAAGCCUGACGCAGCCAUGCCGCGUGAAUGAUGUAGGUCUUAGGAUUGUAAAAUUCUUUCAGCGGGGACGAUAAUGACGGUACCCGGAGAAGAAGCCCCGGCUAACUUCGUG
This 434-nucleotide ribosomal RNA is filed under the name uncultured bacterium. RNAcentral's name for it is "partial 16S ribosomal RNA". It matches the Rfam family "Bacterial small subunit ribosomal RNA", at positions 29 to 507 of the family's 1533-position model. The record is from RNAcentral.